UACGUAGGGUGCGAGCGUUGUCCGGAAUUAUUGGGCGUAAAGAGCUUGUAGGCGGUUUGUCGCGUCUGCUGUGAAAAUCCGGGGCUCAACUCCGGACUUGCAGUGGGUACGGGCAGGCUAGAGUGUGGUAGGGGAGACUGGAAUUCCUGGUGUAGCGGUGGAAUGCGCAGAUAUCAGGAGGAACACCGAUGGCGAAGGCAGGUCUCUGGGCCACUACUGACGCUGAGACGCGAAAGCGUGGGGAGCGAACAGG
This 253-nucleotide ribosomal RNA is filed under the name uncultured bacterium. Its description in RNAcentral is "partial 16S ribosomal RNA". It matches the Rfam family "Bacterial small subunit ribosomal RNA", at positions 524 to 776 of the family's 1533-position model. The record is from RNAcentral.